RNAcentral lists this transfer RNA (72 nucleotides) under uncultured Ruminococcus sp. It matches the Rfam family "tRNA". Rfam says of the family: Transfer RNA (tRNA) molecules are approximately 80 nucleotides in length. Their secondary structure includes four short double-helical elements and three loops (D, anti-codon, and T loops). Further hydrogen bonds mediate the characteristic L-shaped molecular structure. tRNAs have two regions of fundamental functional importance: the anti-codon, which is responsible for specific mRNA codon recognition, and the 3' end, to which the tRNAs corresponding amino acid is attached (by aminoacyl-tRNA synthetases). tRNAs cope with the degeneracy of the genetic code in two manners: having more than one tRNA (with a specific anti-codon) for a particular amino acid; and 'wobble' base-pairing, i.e. permitting non-standard base-pairing at the 3rd anti-codon position. The record is from RNAcentral. Lineage: Bacteria; Bacillati; Bacillota; Clostridia; Eubacteriales; Oscillospiraceae.
GAGGCUUAGCUCAGCUGGUUAGAGUGCUUGCUUGACAUGCAAGAGGUCACUGGUUCGAUUCCAGCAGUCUCC